AUUGAACGCUGGCGGCAGGCCUAACACAUGCAAGUCGAGCGGUAGCACAGAGAGCUUGCUCUCGGGUGACGAGCGGCGGACGGGUGAGUAAUGUCUGGGAAACUGCCUGAUGGAGGGGGAUAACUACUGGAAACGGUAGCUAAUACCGCAUAACGUCGCAAGACCAAAGUGGGGGACCUUCGGGCCUCAUGCCAUCAGAUGUGCCCAGAUGGGAUUAGCUAGUAGGUGGGGUAAUGGCUCACCUAGGCGACGAUCCCUAGCUGGUCUGAGAGGAUGACCAGCCACACUGGAACUGAGACACGGUCCAGACUCCUACGGGAGGCAGCAGUGGGGAAUAUUGCACAAUGGGCGCAAGCCUGAUGCAGCCAUGCCGCGUGUGUGAAGAAGGCCUUCGGGUUGUAAAGCACUUUCAGCGGGGAGGAAGGCGAUAAGGUUAAUAACCUCAUCGAUUGACGUUACCCGCAGAAGAAGCACCGGCUAACUCCGUGCCAGCAGCCGCGGUAAUACGGAGGGUGCAAGCGUUAAUCGGAAUUACUGGGCGUAAAGCGCACGCAGGCGGUCUGUCAAGUCGGAUGUGAAAUCCCCGGGCUCAACCUGGGAACUGCAUUCGAAACUGGCAGGCUAGAGUCUUGUAGAGGGGGGUAGAACUCCAGGUGUAGCGGUGAAAUGCGUAGAGAUCUGGAGGAAUACCGGUGGCGAAGGCGGCCCCCUGGACAAAGACUGACGCUCAGGUGCGAAAGCGUGGGGAGCAAACAGGAUUAGAUACCCUGGUAGUCCACGCCGUAAACGAUGUCGAUUUGGAGGUUGUGCCCUUGAGGCGUGGCUUCCGGAGCUAACGCGUUAAAUCGACCGCCUGGGGAGUACGGCCGCAAGGUUAAAACUCAAAUGAAUUGACGGGGGCCCGCACAAGCGGUGGAGCAUGUGGUUUAAUUCGAUGCAACGCGAAGAACCUUACCUGGUCUUGACAUCCACAGAACUUUCCAGAGAUGGAUUGGUGCCUUCGGGAACUGUGAGACAGGUGCUGCAUGGCUGUCGUCAGCUCGUGUUGUGAAAUGUUGGGUUAAGUCCCGCAACGAGCGCAACCCUUAUCCUUUGUUGCCAGCGGUCCGGCCGGGAACUCAAAGGAGACUGCCAGUGAUAAACUGGAGGAAGGUGGGGAUGACGUCAAGUCAUCAUGGCCCUUACGACCAGGGCUACACACGUGCUACAAUGGCAUAUACAAAGAGAAGCGACCUCGCGAGAGCAAGCGGACCUCAUAAAGUACGUCGUAGUCCGGAUUGGAGUCUGCAACUCGACUCCAUGAAGUCGGAAUCGCUAGUAAUCGUAGAUCAGAAUGCUACGGUGAAUACGUUCCCGGGCCU
Molecule: ribosomal RNA, 1361 nt
Filed under: uncultured bacterium
Lineage: Bacteria
Description: bacterial SSU rRNA
Rfam family: Bacterial small subunit ribosomal RNA
Source: RNAcentral